GAUGAACGCUGGCGGCGUGCUUAACACAUGCAAGUCGAACGAAGCAUUUAGGACAGAUUACUUCGGUUUGAAGUUCUUUAUGGCUGAGUGGCGGACGGGUGAGUAACGCGUGGGUAACCUGCCUUGUACUGGGGGAUAGCAGCUGGAAACGGCUGGUAAUACCGCAUAAGCGCACAAUGUUGCAUGACAUGGUGUGAAAAACUCCGGUGGUAUAAGAUGGACCCGCGUCUGAUUAGCUAGUUGGUGAGAUAACAGCCCACCAAGGCGACGAUCAGUAGCCGACCUGAGAGGGUGACCGGCCACAUUGGGACUGAGACACGGCCCAGACUCCUACGGGAGUCAGCAGUGGGGAAUAUUGCACAAUGGAGGAAACUCUGAUGCAGCGACGCCGCGUGAGUGAAGAAGUAAUUCGUUAUGUAAAGCUCUAUCAGCAGGGAAGAUAGUGACGGUACCUGACUAAGAAGCUCCGGCUAAAUACGUG
This 481-nucleotide ribosomal RNA is filed under the name uncultured bacterium. RNAcentral describes it as "partial 16S ribosomal RNA". It matches the Rfam family "Bacterial small subunit ribosomal RNA", at positions 28 to 507 of the family's 1533-position model. The record is from RNAcentral.